This 201-nucleotide long non-coding RNA is filed under the name Elaeis guineensis (African oil palm). RNAcentral's name for it is "long non-coding RNA (EGUI_LNC040045)". Lineage: Eukaryota; Viridiplantae; Streptophyta; Magnoliopsida; Arecales; Arecaceae. The record is from RNAcentral.
UCUCCCGAUGGCAGUGUCCUGUCGAAGCGCUUCCCUUGCCACAGGAAAUUUUGCUGAAGUCCAUGAUCCAACGUCUGAAGAAGAAAGUUCGUCAUUUAACAAAAAGGUCAGAGGAGAUGGAUGGCGAACUUCGCAGGUUGAGGGAGAGCCACUCUGAGGCCACUACAGAGGCCACCUACUUUCGAAACCUCCACGUGAAGG